GGGUUGUGAGGUUAAGCGACUAAGCGUACACGGUGGAUGCCCUGGCAGUCAGAGGCGAUGAAGGACGUGCUAAUCUGCGAUAAGCGCCGGUAAGGUGAUAUGAACCGUUAUAACCGGCGAUUUCCGAAUGGGGAAACCCAGUGUGACUCGUCACACUAUCAUUAACUGAAUCCAUAGGUUAAUGAGGCGAACCGGGGGAACUGAAACAUCUAAGUACCCCGAGGAAAAGAAAUCAACCGAGAUUCCCCCAGUAGCGGCGAGCGAACGGGGAGGAGCCCAGAGCCUGAAUCAGCAUGUGUGUUAGUGGAAGCGUCUGGAAAGGCGCGCGAUACAGGGUGACAGCCCCGUACACAAAAGCGCAUGUGCUGUGAGCUCGAUGAGUAGGGCGGGACACGUGGUAUCCUGUCUGAAUAUGGGGGGACCAUCCUCCAAGGCUAAAUACUCCUGACUGACCGAUAGUGAACCAGUACCGUGAGGGAAAGGCGAAAAGAACCCCGGCGAGGGGAGUGAAAAAGAACCUGAAACCGUGUACGUACAAGCAGUGGGAGCACCCUUUGGGGUGUGACUGCGUACCUUUUGUAUAAUGGGUCAGCGACUUAUAUUCUGUAGCAAGGUUAACCGAAUAGGGGAGCCGGAGGGAAACCGAGUCUUAAUUGGGCGUUAAGUUGCAGGGUAUAGACCCGAAACCCGGUGAUCUAGCCAUGGGCAGGUUGAAGGUUGGGUAACACUAACUGGAGGACCGAACCGACUAAUGUUGAAAAAUUAGCGGAUGACCUGUGGCUGGGGGUGAAAGGCCAAUCAAACCGGGAGAUAGCUGGUUCUCCCCGAAAGCUAUUUAGGUAGCGCCUCGUGAAUUCAUCUCCGGGGGUAGAGCACUGUUUCGGCUAGGGGGCCAUCCCGGCUUACCAACCCGAUGCAAACUGCGAAUACCGGAGAAUGUUAUCACGGGAGACACACGGCGGGUGCUAACGUCCGUCGUGAAGAGGGAAACAACCCAGACCGCCAGCUAAGGUCCCAAAGUCAUGGUUAAGUGGGAAACGAUGUGGGAAGGCCCAGACAGCCAGGAUGUUGGCUUAGAAGCAGCCAUCAUUUAAAGAAAGCGUAAUAGCUCACUGGUCGAGUCGGCCUGCGCGGAAGAUGUAACGGGGCUAAACCAUGCACCGAAGCUGCGGCAGCGACACUAUGUGUUGUUGGGUAGGGGAGCGUUCUGUAAGCCUGUGAAGGUGGCCUGUGAGGGUUGCUGGAGGUAUCAGAAGUGCGAAUGCUGACAUAAGUAACGAUAAAGCGGGUGAAAAGCCCGCUCGCCGGAAGACCAAGGGUUCCUGUCCAACGUUAAUCGGGGCAGGGUGAGUCGACCCCUAAGGCGAGGCCGAAAGGCGUAGUCGAUGGGAAACGGGUUAAUAUUCCCGUACUUGGUGUUACUGCGAAGGGGGGACGGAGAAGGCUAUGUUGGCCGGGCGACGGUUGUCCCGGUUUAAGCGUGUAGGUGUGUGUUCCAGGUAAAUCCGGUUCACUUUAACACUGAGGCGUGACGACGAGGCACUACGGUGCUGAAGCAACAAAUGCCCUGCUUCCAGGAAAAGCCUCUAAGCAUCAGGUAACAUCAAAUCGUACCCCAAACCGACACAGGUGGUCAGGUAGAGAAUACCAAGGCGCUUGAGAGAACUCGGGUGAAGGAACUAGGCAAAAUGGUGCCGUAACUUCGGGAGAAGGCACGCUGACACGUAGGUGAAGUGAUUUACUCAUGGAGCUGAAGUCAGUCGAAGAUACCAGCUGGCUGCAACUGUUUAUUAAAAACACAGCACUGUGCAAACACGAAAGUGGACGUAUACGGUGUGACGCCUGCCCGGUGCCGGAAGGUUAAUUGAUGGGGUCAGCGCAAGCGAAGCUCCUGAUCGAAGCCCCGGUAAACGGCGGCCGUAACUAUAACGGUCCUAAGGUAGCGAAAUUCCUUGUCGGGUAAGUUCCGACCUGCACGAAUGGCGUAAUGAUGGCCAGGCUGUCUCCACCCGAGACUCAGUGAAAUUGAACUCGCUGUGAAGAUGCAGUGUACCCGCGGCAAGACGGAAAGACCCCGUGAACCUUUACUAUAGCUUGACACUGAACAUUGAGCCUUGAUGUGUAGGAUAGGUGGGAGGCUUUGAAGUGUGGACGCCAGUCUGCAUGGAGCCGGCCUUGAAAUACCACCCUUUAAUGUUUGAUGUUCUAACGUGGACCCGUGAUCCGGGUUGCGGACAGUGUCUGGUGGGUAGUUUGACUGGGGCGGUCUCCUCCUAAAGAGUAACGGAGGAGCACGAAGGUUGGCUAAUCCUGGUCGGACAUCAGGAGGUUAGUGCAAUGGCAUAAGCCAGCUUGACUGCGAGCGUGACGGCGCGAGCAGGUGCGAAAGCAGGUCAUAGUGAUCCGGUGGUUCUGAAUGGAAGGGCCAUCGCUCAACGGAUAAAAGGUACUCCGGGGAUAACAGGCUGAUACCGCCCAAGAGUUCAUAUCGACGGCGGUGUUUGGCACCUCGAUGUCGGCUCAUCACAUCCUGGGGCUGAAGUAGGUCCCAAGGGUAUGGCUGUUCGCCAUUUAAAGUGGUACGCGAGCUGGGUUUAGAACGUCGUGAGACAGUUCGGUCCCUAUCUGCCGUGGGCGCUGGAGAACUGAGGGGGGCUGCUCCUAGUACGAGAGGACCGGAGUGGACGCAUCACUGGUGUUCGGGUUGUCAUGCCAAUGGCACUGCCCGGUAGCUAAAUGCGGAAGAGAUAAGUGCUGAAAGCAUCUAAGCACGAAACUUGCCCCGAGAUGAGUUCUCCCUGAGACUUAGAGUCUCCUGAAGGAACGUUGAAGACGACGACGUUGAUAGGCCGGGUGUGUAAGCGCAGCGAUGCGUUGAGCUAACCGGUACUAAUGAACCGUGAGGCUUAACCUUACAACGCCGAAG
RNAcentral lists this ribosomal RNA (2926 nucleotides) under Salmonella enterica subsp. enterica serovar Gaminara str. SA20063285. RNAcentral describes it as "bacterial LSU rRNA". It matches the Rfam family "Bacterial large subunit ribosomal RNA". The record is from RNAcentral. Lineage: Bacteria; Pseudomonadati; Pseudomonadota; Gammaproteobacteria; Enterobacterales; Enterobacteriaceae.